GUGAAUCAUCGAAUUUUUGAACGCAAAUUGCGCUUCCUGGUAUUCCGGGAAGUAUGCCUGUUUGAGGGUCAGUAUUAAUAAAAAACGGGUUUGGUUGUAAAUUGUGUCGUUACCGGAGUUUGGGCUAUCUUAAUUUUUUCGGUUAAGGGGCUUAAAAUUGACCUUUUUUGUGUAUUUUUAGAUGUACAUAAAUUUUUUUUUUUUUCGUCUAUUGUUAAUGCGAAAAUCUUAUUAGAUGCGAUCACAU
This 247-nucleotide unclassified non-coding RNA is filed under the name Glomeraceae sp. RNAcentral describes it as "partial contains 5.8S ribosomal RNA and internal transcribed spacer 2". The stretch from base 1 to 71 matches the Rfam family "5.8S ribosomal RNA", at positions 84 to 154 of the family's 154-position model. Lineage: Eukaryota; Fungi; Glomeromycota; Glomeromycetes; Glomerales; Glomeraceae. The record is from RNAcentral.